GUCCGAUGGGCUGGAGUGCUGCCAAGCCUCUAAUCCAUCAUGUGACUGACAGGACUUCAGUCCCUGGGAGAAAGUGAUUUUUAGCACAGUUUUCUAUUUCUCUGAAGUUAUCAGCAGUUUCAUUCAGAUCAUACAGAUCAAAUGCCUUCAAGUGCCCCAACAAACAGACUUGGGCUGCCAGCUGGGACAUGGAUACUUUUAAACUAAGCACUGAAGAAAUGCCAAACAAGUGACAAGAUCUACCAAAACACCUUGCAAGUUGGACAUGAGUGAGAAACAUAUUGUCUUCUGUUUUGUGAGAAGCAGCAUGCAACAGGUAUGAUUUGCUACAGUGAAAAGCAAUCACUUCGGUAUGGAGUGAACGGGACUGUAAGUGGAACAAGACUCACAUGAUAUUCUUCAAAGCUUUUUGUUUGCAAGAUGUUAUGAUAGAUGGAGCAUUUUGGUACUCAAGUUCUGCCUGCCACAUUAUAUUUGACUCAAAAUUUUUCACAGCUGAAAUUCCAACAGGUACCUGGCUCUGUAUAAAGCUGCCUUUAAUUACUUGGUGAUUGCAUUGCAUGGCAUUUGUACUGCAUGCGCUACAGGGUGCAGUUAAGCAACAGUGAUCACGUCAGAAAAUGUAUGUUAUACAUGUAGUAAUAUUUUGGUUCUUUGCUGAGAGGAUGCAGAUGAGUUUCAGUGUGAAUAAACAUUGGGUUUAAUGAAGAAAUGCAUGGCUUUACAUGCUUCAAUGCAUGGUUUGUUUUGUUGUUCUUAUUUUAUUAAAUGAGCAGUUUCAUUUUAAGCAAUAGAUAAAUUGUCAUAUAUUAAUGGUAAUACUGUAAAUAAGAAACCUGAUAAAUUCUGUAAACAGUUUCUAUUCCAGGUCAACUUAUUCCAGAGAUCAGAUACGUAACUGGUGCCCUGGGCUGUAUUACACUUCACGAGUCCAGUGAUCAAAUAUUUACUAGGGCUUCCAAUCUGGCCAAAUUAAUACACGUCAAAGGACAGAGUUCACAUCCUCAAUUAAUUUAGCCCUAGGUUUCUUCAAACCUGAGCCCUUAACUGAACAAAACAUUUUUUCUGUACCAUGCUGCAGACCUAUAUGAUCUGGGAAGUAUAGCACUGCCACAAAAAGACCUUCUGUCUUCUAGUAAAUUGAUUUUAUCACAGAAUAAAAUCCUACCUUACAAAUAUCUGAAUCCUAUGUCAAAAGUGCCAAUGAAUGUCAA
Long non-coding RNA from Lagopus muta (rock ptarmigan), 1214 nucleotides. RefSeq lists it as uncharacterized. The record is from RefSeq and is a predicted model, not a curated record. Lineage: Eukaryota; Metazoa; Chordata; Aves; Galliformes; Phasianidae. The transcript has 4 exons.